This 81-nucleotide transfer RNA is filed under the name Candidatus Roizmanbacteria bacterium. RNAcentral's name for it is "tRNA-Leu". It matches the Rfam family "tRNA". Rfam says of the family: Transfer RNA (tRNA) molecules are approximately 80 nucleotides in length. Their secondary structure includes four short double-helical elements and three loops (D, anti-codon, and T loops). Further hydrogen bonds mediate the characteristic L-shaped molecular structure. tRNAs have two regions of fundamental functional importance: the anti-codon, which is responsible for specific mRNA codon recognition, and the 3' end, to which the tRNAs corresponding amino acid is attached (by aminoacyl-tRNA synthetases). tRNAs cope with the degeneracy of the genetic code in two manners: having more than one tRNA (with a specific anti-codon) for a particular amino acid; and 'wobble' base-pairing, i.e. permitting non-standard base-pairing at the 3rd anti-codon position. The record is from RNAcentral. Lineage: Bacteria; Candidatus Roizmaniibacteriota.
GCCGCAGUGGCGGAAUGGCAGACGCGCACGGUUCAGGGCCGUGUGGGGCAACCCGUAGAGGUUCAACUCCUCUCUGCGGCA